CGCCUGGGGAGUGCGGCCGCAAGGUUAAAACUCAAAUGAAUUGACGGGGGCCCGCACAAGCGGUGGAGCAUGUGGUUUAAUUCGACGCAACGCGAAGAACCUUACCUGGCCUUGACAUCCAGAGAGCUUUCCGGAGAUGGAUUGGUGCCUUCGGGAACUCUGAGACAGGUGCUGCAUGGCCGUCGUCAGCUCGUGUCGUGAGAUGUUGGGUUAAGUCCCGUAACGAGCGCAACCCCUAUCCCUGGUUGCUAGCAGGUAAUGCUGAGAACUCCAGGGAGACUGCCGGUGACAAACCGGAGGAAGGUGGGGAUGACGUCAGGUCAUCAUGGCCCUUACGGCCAGGGCUACACACGUGCUACAAUGGCGCGUACAGAGGGCUGCCAACUCGCGAGAGUGAGCCAAUCCCUUAAAACGCGUCGUAGUCCGGAUCGGAGUCUGCAACUCGACUCCGUGAAGUCGGAAUCGCUAGUAAUCGCGAAUCAGAAUGUCGCGGUGAAUACGUUCCCGGGCCUUGUACACACCGCCCGUCACACCAUGGGAGUGGAUUGCACCAGAAGUAGUUAGUCUAACCUUCGAGAGGACGAUUACCACGGUGUGGUUCAUGACUGGGGUGAAGUCGUAACAAGGUAACCGUA
This 635-nucleotide ribosomal RNA is filed under the name uncultured Marinobacter sp. RNAcentral describes it as "bacterial SSU rRNA". It matches the Rfam family "Bacterial small subunit ribosomal RNA", at positions 870 to 1504 of the family's 1533-position model. The record is from RNAcentral. Lineage: Bacteria; Pseudomonadati; Pseudomonadota; Gammaproteobacteria; Pseudomonadales; Marinobacteraceae.